AUUGAACGCUGGCGGCAUGCUUUACACAUGCAAGUCGAACGGUAACAGGUUAAGCUGACGAGUGGCGAACGGGUGAGUAAUGCAUCGGAACGUGCCCGGUCGUGGGGGAUAACGCAGCGAAAGUUGCGCUAAUACCGCAUACGAUCUGAGGAUGAAAGCGGGGGACCGUAAGGCCUCGCGCGAUCGGAGCGGCCGAUGUCAGAUUAGGUAGUUGGUGGGGUAAAGGCUCACCGAGCCAACGAUCUGUAGCUGGUCUGAGAGGACGACCAGCCACACUGGGACUGAGACACGGCCCAGACUCCUACGGGAGGCAGCAGUGGGGAAUUUUGGACAAUGGGCGAAAGCCUGAUCCAGCAAUGCCGCGUGCAGGAAGAAGGCCUUCGGGUUGUAAACUGCUUUUGUACGGAGCGAAAAGGUCUCCUCUAAUACAGGGGGCUCAUGACGGUACCGUAAGAAUAAGCACCGGCUAACUACGUGCCAGCCGCCGCAGUAA
RNAcentral lists this ribosomal RNA (493 nucleotides) under uncultured bacterium. Its description in RNAcentral is "partial 16S ribosomal RNA". It matches the Rfam family "Bacterial small subunit ribosomal RNA", at positions 30 to 523 of the family's 1533-position model. The record is from RNAcentral.